UAGUAUGAUUUACAGUAACAGGAUUACAAAUCAAUAAUCAAUCAAUCAAUCAAUCAAUCAACUCCAGUUGACUGCCUCCUAUCGCUCUGUAGGUCUAUGUUGUGUCAUCUGUAGAGGCUGAAAAAAGUAACCCCAUUUUGACAAAGCAAGCAGAAGAAAGGUCUGUUUUCAAACGUAAAGAGUAUAAAUAAAACGUCGUCAGAAAAUAAAUUCUCAAGUAAAGUUUUUUGUUUGUUUGUUUGUUUGUUUUAAUUCUCAAGUAAAGUACAGCGAUCCCACCAGAUAGUCCUUCCAAUCUGCAGUUUCAUUUGAGGUUGAUAGAUGGCGGUAAUGCACCCUUAACACAGUUGCCACUAGUAAAUCAAAACAGAAAAUGUUUUGCUCCCCCCCCCCUUUUUACACACUCUUUAUUGAACAAUAUGUCACAUAUACAUUCAGGAAAAACAAAAAUGUUUCUCGUUUCUCCUGUAAAUAUCAUGACGUCAUCAUCCUGCUGCAGGCGUCUGAGAGUUCAUUGCAGUCUGCAUUAUCACAAAAAAGCGAGCAGAUAUACAGAGCAUGCUGAAAAUGGAUCUUCUGUGUUGGGGCAAUGGUGAGCUGGGUCAGACCGGACAUGGGAGACGUGGGGACUUCAGCCCAGAGGAUGCCAUCUGGGCAAAUUGAACCUUUUGGCAUGUGGAUCCACUCAUUCUAUCGUGGUUACAGGCCUGUCUGUUCCUCUUGCUCUUUCGCUAAAAGAUGGACGUUGUUUCCAGGAUCUGCUUUGGAAAUGGUAUCCUGUGGAGCUCUAGGAAGAAGUGCCCUCAUCUGGCCCUUUUGUCUGUCAUUAGGUACCUCCAAACAUUUUAUCCCCAGACCUCUGGGACCUCAAACUGCCAAAUGGGUUGAAUUAUGGUCAGUUAUGUGGAGUGGACCUUGUGUUAUAAGGGAGAGAGGCCUGAGUCAGUGGAACAAACCACAGUUCUCACUAUUAAGAGGCAGUCUGAUACUUGCUCAACCAAACUGAGGCUCCCAGUGGGAGGACGCCAAGUAUCCUACAAUUGAUCUACCAAUGGAAGCACCCAUUUUGUCCACAUUAUUGGAAGUAUUGCAGGAUUUUGGUUGAGUGGCAGGUACACCCUAGUUGCCAGUCAAUCACAGGACACAUACUUAAGUCUACACAACCCUGUUCAAAUGCCAGGUUUUUGUGAUAUAGAAAAAUGAGAAAUCAGUCACUUCAAAACAUGUUCAACCAUUAAUGUGUUAAAAAAAAUUCUGGGGGGAAGUAGCAAUAAACAACGAAGAUAAUGUGGUUGCACACGUGUGAACAACCUCUUGUAACUGGGAAUUUGGCUGUGUUCAGAAAUAACAAAUCAUAUGCGAACACACACCUUCCACCAUUUAAAGUACCUCUGAUUAACUCCUAAUAAAGAUGUUCUAGUAGACUUUUCCCAAAAAUGUUGUAGUCACUUCUUUACAGCACAACCCAUGCAUGGUCCGCAGAGAGCUUCCACAGCAUCAGAAGGAUCUCAUUGCUCAAAGUAUCAG
This is a long non-coding RNA of Phyllopteryx taeniolatus (common seadragon), 1527 nucleotides long. RefSeq lists it as uncharacterized. The record is from RefSeq and is a predicted model, not a curated record. NCBI's taxonomy places the organism in Eukaryota, Metazoa, Chordata, Actinopteri, Syngnathiformes, Syngnathidae. The transcript is spliced from 3 exons.